Passer domesticus (house sparrow) is the source of this 2708-nucleotide long non-coding RNA. RefSeq lists it as uncharacterized. NCBI's taxonomy places the organism in Eukaryota, Metazoa, Chordata, Aves, Passeriformes, Passeridae. The record is from RefSeq and is a predicted model, not a curated record. The transcript has 2 exons.
GUUUCUUUUGAACCAGCAGCUGGUGGUGUGAUACUGUUAAUGUCCUUUCCCUCUUGGGAGCCAUUAGUUCUUGCAUCCUCAUGCUUCCUGGCUCUCCUUAGUGGCCUCCUCCCCACCAAACACUCUCUCAAUCUCUUUUUAUGGAACUGCCAUGGCGUUGCACUGCAGUUAAGGAAUAUUCUGUCUUCUCUGCCUUACAGCCAGAAUUACAACACUCCUCUCAAGGACCAAAGGUGCUCCUUUGAUUGGUGAGGAUACCCCAGUGGUUAUAAGUUUCAGAUUUUCACGUACAAAAUUGCGCUGUCGUACUGUGAACGAUCCUGUGUAGCUGCUGGUGCAAACUACUUUUGCUGCCACUGUAGGUGGUGCAGUCUGUGGAGGAAGUCCAUUGAUUAUAUAUGUCCACUGCAUUGAUUGUGUCUGAAAAUAACAGGAAAAAAAAAAUCAGUGACCAAAUACCUUGAAAAUUCAUCAGUGAUUUAAGAUGCAACGUUGAUUUCAAAAGAUAUUUGAAAUGUAAUGCACUGGAAUAACACAGAAUGAGAAUUGCACUCCUGGAACAGAGAACUGAAAUCACAUUCAGCUUUAUUCAGGAUCAGGCAUAACAAAGACAGGAAAUUUACCUUCCCUGGCUGAUCUAAAAUUCCUUUUUUAUUUCAAAAUCCCAGAAGUCUGUAUGUUUUUCAAAGAGCUCUGUAUGUUUUUCAAAGGUGACUAUUCCUUACUACAACAUAAAUGCCUCAAAGUUUUUACCAUAGGAUUCACUGGCAGCUCUGCUAUCUGAAACAAUGGUAAUAUCAAAUGGUGGGAUUUUCACAUUAAAAGAAUGAACAAAACUAAGACAAAAGGACUCAGACUGUGCACAAGAGAAUUGAAGCUUCAUGUUGUAAUCUCUGGUUUGAGGCACAUUUAUAUGGAUUGAAAAUGACACUCUUCAUUUGCUCUCUGUUUAUAACUGGUCUCUAGGAAUGGAACAUAUGUUUCCAUGUCAUGUCUUGUAAUGCUUGAAUCCUGCCUGAUUCUUCCUUAGUACAUGGACCUUAUUCUUACUACACAUCCCAUCCAUCCAUGCUUAAGGACUUUUAUUUCUAUGAAUAUUAGGGUAUAUUGUGGUCUACUUAUUAUGCUUCAUGUGUCCUGAAACAGAAUUUUGGUUGUUAAAAACUCAUGUGUAAUUUUUGCAGAACUUCCAAAACUUUUCCUUUCAUAAGUAUCACUUAAUUUUUGAAAGCAGGUCUUCGUUCUAAGUCUCUAGCACUUUCCUGUCAUUACAUCUGGAAAAAGGAAUAUUCCUGGGUUUUAGUUUUCUGUUCUACUUUUCUUUUAAAAAAACCCAAAACUACAAACUAACAACAGAAAUAUUACAAACCCAAAAGAUAUUACAAAAUCUCAAGUGCUGUGUCAUUAUGCCCAGUUUUGUACUGUGCAAAAGGACAAAGCAUUGCAUGGCCACUUUAAGCAUAGACUGUCAUAAAUUCCCUCACACCUAGUGACUGAAAAUCCCAUGUUUUAGAUUUGGGGUUUUUCUUUCUCUUUCUGAGAUAAAACUAAUAGAGUAAGACUGAAUAAAAAUAUGGUAUGUAUAAGUCUAUUAAAAUAUAUUCAUACAAAUGAAAUUUGGCUUUUAUACAGAACACAGAGCAUGAACAGAGUACACAGAACAUAGCAGACUCUCUGACUUUGCAGUCUUAGAGCAGGGAAGUCACAUGAAAGGAGUGGUAUUUCCAAAUUCCCAAGCUCUGCCUUUCCCCAGGACACAGCAGUGCAGGCACAGAGCUGUGCUGGCUGUGGUUCCAGAGCAGGUUUUUGUUGCUCUCCUGCUGUGUGGAACUACAGGGGCACAGCUCAUAGGAUCACCUUUCCCUGCUCCUUCUUCCAAUUUUAUCAUUACAGGGAGGAGUUGUACUUCAUGGAAUUCAUCACCCAUUUAAAACCAAUUUAAUCGUUAGAACAAUCAAUUGUAGAUAGAAACAUUACACCUAACAACAGUGUCAUUCUUCAUCUGAGGAAACAAAAGGUCAGAAAGGCUGAUAUGCUUUGAAAUUGCUCUGGAAAACAGUGCUACAGUCAAGCCUCAAAGCUCAUGGGUCUUUCCCUCAGCUGGCAGUCCAGCUUCCCACAUGGCUGGAUUUGUGGCCAAUUUUUUUCAUUCCAGUGUGAGCUCUCUGCUCCUGUUCUGCUGCUGGGCAUGUAAAUAAAAAAAAAAAAACAACCCUGCCAGAUUUGGCCUAUAGAGUGGUGCCACAAUACCUACUCAAAUUGUGGCAGAUUUUCACACUCCAUAAAUGCUAUCAACCAUCUCCAAAGCAGAGUGUGUAUAUUUGCCUUGUUAUUCAUUGCAUUUUAUCCUUUAAUUAUGGUCUAGGUAAAGCACUGCAAAAGCCACAGAGAUGAGCAGUGAACCUUCUCCACAUCCAACCUUCUGUGGAGUCAUCCCAUAUUUACAUCAACAUACAGAAGAAGGAAAAAAGCAUGGAAAAAAAUGUUUCUUGACUUUACUAAGUUUUGUUACAUCAGUUUUAUACUUGCCACUGAAAAGUUUGAAUCUAUUAUGUUUAUCUUGGUUUUCUUUCAUAUGCUUCUUCCUACCAUUCUAAUUGCUACCCUGUUCAGUGAUAAUUUAUAUUUAAAGAGUAUCAUUGCAAGUAGUUUUGAAUUUAUAAUACAGAUAUUAAACAAAAAGAAGUUUCAGAACAUUAAACCAUAAA